AACGAACGCUGGCGGCAUGCCUAACACAUGCAAGUCGAACGAGACCUUCGGGUCUAGUGGCGCACGGGUGCGUAACGCGUGGGAACCUGCCUUUAGGUUCGGAAUAACUCAGAGAAAUUUGAGCUAAUACCGGAUGAUGUCUUCGGACCAAAGAUUUAUCGCCUUUAGAUGGGCCCGCGUUGGAUUAGCUAGUUGGUGGGGUAAAGGCCUACCAAGGCGACGAUCCAUAGCUGGUCUGAGAGGAUGAUCAGCCACACUGGGACUGAGACACGGCCCAGACUCCUACGGGAGGCAGCAGUGGGGAAUAUUGGACGAUGGGCGAAAGCCUGAUCCAGCAAUGCCGCGUGAGUGAUGAAGGCCUGAGGGUUGUAAAGCUCUUUUACCCGAGAUGAUAAUGACAGGAUCGGGAGAAUAAGCUCCGGCUAACUCCG
RNAcentral lists this ribosomal RNA (431 nucleotides) under uncultured bacterium. RNAcentral's name for it is "partial 16S ribosomal RNA". It matches the Rfam family "Bacterial small subunit ribosomal RNA", at positions 29 to 505 of the family's 1533-position model. The record is from RNAcentral.